AAUCAACGCUGGCGGCGUGCCUAACACAUGCAAGUCGAACGAGAAAGUGGAGCAAUCCAUGAGUAAAGUGGCGACCGGGUGAGUAACACGUGACUAACCUACCUUCGAGUGGGGGAUAACCUCGGGAAACCGAGGCUAAUACCGCAUAACAUCGCAAGAUCAAAGCAGCAAUGCGCUGGAAGAGGGGGUCGCGGCUGAUUAGCUAGUUGGCGGGGUAACGGCCCACCAAGGCGAAGAUCGGUAGCCGGCCUGAGAGGGCGCACGGCCACACUGGAACUGAAACACGGUCCAGACUCCUACGGGAGGCAGCAGUGGGGAAUUUUGCGCAAUGGGGGAAACCCUGACGCAGCAACGCCGCGUGGAGGAUGAAGCCCCUUGGGGCGUAAACUCCUUUCGACCAAGACGAU
RNAcentral lists this ribosomal RNA (407 nucleotides) under bacterium Ellin644. Its description in RNAcentral is "bacterial SSU rRNA". It matches the Rfam family "Bacterial small subunit ribosomal RNA", at positions 32 to 449 of the family's 1533-position model. Lineage: Bacteria; Pseudomonadati; Acidobacteriota; Terriglobia; Terriglobales; Acidobacteriaceae. The record is from RNAcentral.